AAGUCGUAACAAGGUUUCCGUAGGUGAACCUGCGGAAGGAUCAUUACCUGGCCUAGGCCGCUGCUCGUCGGCGUGCCGCUCGUGCCUAUUACCUUGACUAUGCGCACCUUUGUUGUUCCCUCGGCAGUUCGCUGCCGCCAGGGACCCCCUAAACCCUCAUGUAAUACAGUACACUUCUGAAAACAGACCUAAUUAUUUACAA
Molecule: unclassified non-coding RNA, 202 nt
Filed under: plant metagenome
Description: partial contains small subunit ribosomal RNA and internal transcribed spacer 1
Rfam family: Eukaryotic small subunit ribosomal RNA (bases 1-46)
Source: RNAcentral